Molecule: ribosomal RNA, 433 nt
Filed under: uncultured bacterium
Lineage: Bacteria
Description: partial 16S ribosomal RNA
Rfam family: Bacterial small subunit ribosomal RNA
Source: RNAcentral
AGCGAACGCUGGCGGCAGGCCUAACACAUGCAAGUCGAGCGAACUCUUCGGAGUUAGUGGCGGACGGUUGAGUAACACGUGGGAACGUGCCUUUUGGUUCGGAAUAACUCAGGGAAACUUGUGCUAAUACCGAAUGUGCCCUUCGGGGGAAAGAUUUAUCGCCAUUAGAGCGGCCCGCGUCUGAUUAGCUAGUUGGUGAGGUAACGGCUCACCAAGGCGACGAUCAGUAGCUGGUCUGAGAGGAAGACCAGCCACACUGGGACUGAGACACGGCCCAGAAUCCUACGGGAGGCAGCAGUGGGGGAUCUUGCGAAAUGGGGGAGAGCCUGACGCAGCCAUGCCGCGUGAAUGAUGAAGGUCUUAGGAUUGUAAAAUUCUUUCACCGGGGACGAUAAUGACGGUACCCGGAGAAGAAGCCCCGGCUAACUUCGUG